Cucumis sativus (cucumber) is the source of this 2625-nucleotide long non-coding RNA. RefSeq lists it as uncharacterized. Lineage: Eukaryota; Viridiplantae; Streptophyta; Magnoliopsida; Cucurbitales; Cucurbitaceae. The transcript has 3 exons. The record is from RefSeq and is a predicted model, not a curated record.
UUGUGCUCUUUGGGCAAGUAAGAUUCAAGGUUUAGCUCUACCUUUUUCUUCCGUAUCCAUUUAUUUUGAAAAAGUUGUAUGAUCAUCCGUAUUAACUUCCUUGUGUUUUCUAAUCAAAGUUAGAAUUGAAUCAACCAUUCACUUUUUAACCUCUCUUUGCCUGCUGGGUUUUAGUUUGAUUGUGAUAUUGUGUAUGGAAACUGCUAAAGUUUUUUAAUUGAAUUGAAUGUAAAACUUGAUGAUUGUUUGAUAUUGUUAUAUGUGUUUCUAUCUAUUUUUUUUGUUUCAUUGUAUUGUUCCUGAUUUAGUGAGAACAAUAAAGGUAGUGAAACUUAGAGACUAUUACACAUGAGAGGCCAUGAUAAAAAAUCAACAUGAUCUCCUUAUUCGAAAAUCUGAUCACUUCCCACCUCCUCAACGUUGCUUUCUCCAUUUUCCCAUCUUCUCAAGGAACUUCAUUAUUAAUUUCCAUUUUGUCUGGGAAAAGUUCUAUCAAAGUAAGGAAUUAUAAGCGUCCUCUACCUGUUUGUCAAAAUGACUGAGUGAAGUUUUUGAACCUUCCAUGUAUGUUUGCUUUAGUUUUAGACUGUUUUAUUCAAUCAUCCUUCCAAUUAUGUUUCUAAAAAUUCAAAACAAUACAUAUAAUCCUAUCAAAUCAUUUACACAGUAGUUGAAAUUUGACAAAGAAUUCAAAUGUUUAUAUAUGUAGACAAAGAACUCAUUCGAUAACCAUUUGAAUUUUGAAAGUUGGUCUUGUUUUCUUACCAUUGAUAUUUUCCAUAAUUUUUGUUUUUACUAUAAAAACAUUUGAAUUUCCAGCUAAAUUUCAACUAAAAAGUUACUUUUUAAUUUUCUGGCCUGAAUUUUUAAAUCGUUUUUAAAAGUAGUUAGCAAAAUAAAUAAAUGUGUGAAACUAAGGUAUAUAACCUUAAUUUUCAAAAACCAAAUGUUCAAACAGUUGAAAAUUAAACCUGCUUUAAAUAAAUAAGUUAUAUGUGAAUUGAUUUGUGAGUUAGAAAAAGUUAAAGGAUGUGAGUUAAAAUGUUUAGAGUUAAUUUAAUUAGUAUGAGUUUUCAUAUUAAUUAAGUGUAGGUUUUAAAUUGUUGUGUUUAACCCGUGGUAUGAGUUAUGCUCCUGACAAUCCUAUAAAUAGGAUUGAAAUGUUGUAAUCUAAAUUAUCCAAGUGUGAGUAGAAUACACAUAAAAAAGUUACGAGUCUUCCAAUAAAGUUUGUUUUUCCUUUUAAAUAUUAUAUUUGGUAAUUAUCUAUUUGGGGUGUUAAUCAUACGCUUCCAACACAAACAAGUCCUAAACUUAAUUAGAAAAAACCAUUUGGUAUAUUUUGAUAAUGAUUUUUCACUUGAAAGAUCAAUGUCCCAUGUGUUGAGAUCACAUAUGACAUUUGCAAAUUGCAUCAUCAAGUCCAGUUUUUUAUUGAAUACUAUUUGGUUAUUUGUUUGAGUGAGUUGAAAUAGGCAGAUAAAUGAUGAUACCUCUCAAGGAUUCGGUGCCAGCAGCCCAGAACAAAGUGAAGAUUGAGAAGGUAGGAGAGUUCAAGAUGGUGUUUGUAGAGACACCAAAUAUGAGUGAGAUCCAUUGGGUUCCAGGCAGCAUUAACUCCAACAAGUAUGUGAAAGAAUCUGUUUUAUCCCCUUAUUCUCGCAUCUUUCCUCCCAUUCGUUGAUAGUUAUGGUGGUUGUAGACCAAAUUUGAGAAAGAAAGGUCAAGGAAUGAGUAGAUUUUUGAAGAUGCAUUUUGCAUUAUGCUUCACACAUCUUAAAAGAAUAUUAUUCUCUUAUAUUUUCCUCCUCUCUGUUAAGGCUAAAAAGACAGUAUAUUUUGAAGAUGCAUUAGGUACAAAAACAUCUUGAUUCUUGAAUGAAAAUGGUUUAUUGCAAAAACAGGAACUGUCUGUUUUUUUUUCUUUUGUAAUGUCUUAGGUAUUCAUUAAAAUUUUAUUCAAUUGGAUAGAUUAAUGGUUGGACGUUUAUAAUGGUGUGAAAUUUAAUUUGGAUCAAUACCCAUAAGACAAAUUCUUUUGUUUGUGUGGCUUGCCUGUUGCAUUAGUUGAGUAUGAAGGAGAACAACAUGGUUUCCGCAAGGUACAUCCUACUGCAUCUUGUAAGUGAUACUUCUAAGUUUUGGCGUUGAGGGAUAGAAUGCUAAGAUUGUGUAUUUAAUACAGGCAAAAAAUAUGUUUACCCUGGAACAACCAAUGAUGUUCUUCACACAAACAGUAGGACGUUUCCAAGUUGCAGACGAUAUUAAUUAACCUGCUCAAAAUUGACAACUUCGACUAAGGGUCUAACAUGGUGCUCAAGCAUUAUGUAUCUCAAUGCCAUGUAGAACUUAAGACAAGUGACAACAAUGAAUCAGCUAAAUAUCAUAAGCUAAGAGGUUUGGAAGAAUCCAUUGGAGUAGUGAAUUAAGUGAACUUGGAGCAAUUGAUUGUUAUAAGAUUUUUUGUAUGGUUGGUAGCAAAAUCUUGGUUCCAAUGUACUUAUUUUAGGCUUGUUGGUAGCUAAAGAUGUCAAUGUUUAUUAUUAUUUUUUUUUGUAUUUAAACUACCUUUAAUAAAAAAAAUGGUUAUUAGUCAAUCCUAGUGUACAUAUAUUACAAAGUGUA